AGAUUGAACGCUGGCGGCAGGCCUAACACAUGCAAGUCGAGCGGUAGAGAGGUGCUUGCACCUCUUGAGAGCGGCGGACGGGUGAGUAAUGCCUAGGAAUCUGCCUAGUGGUGGGGGAUAACGUUCGGAAACGGACGCUAAUACCGCAUACGUCCUACGGGAGAAAGCGGGGGACCUUCGGGCCUCGCGCCAUUAGAUGAGCCUAGGUCGGAUUAGCUAGUUGGUGAGGUAAUGGCUCACCAAGGCGACGAUCCGUAACUGGUCUGAGAGGAUGAUCAGUCACACUGGAACUGAGACACGGCCCAGACU
Molecule: ribosomal RNA, 309 nt
Filed under: uncultured soil bacterium
Lineage: Bacteria
Description: bacterial SSU rRNA
Rfam family: Bacterial small subunit ribosomal RNA
Source: RNAcentral